RNAcentral lists this long non-coding RNA (1103 nucleotides) under Marmota monax (woodchuck). The record is from RNAcentral. Lineage: Eukaryota; Metazoa; Chordata; Mammalia; Rodentia; Sciuridae.
CUUCUAUUACAUGCUGAGUCUCUGGUAAACUGAGACUCUGGAAAGUCUCUGGUAAAUUAAAUCUCUAGGUCCUUGAUCCACUUUGAGUUGAGUUUUGUGCAUGGUGAGGAAUAGAGAUUUAAUUUCAUUUUGUUGCAUUUGUCCAUCCAGGGAUUCUAGUUUUAGAAUUUAGUAGCUUUGGGGGGUUUCAUGGAAGGAACUAGAUUUACCUGUUUCUUCCCAGUUGCAGCCCAAACAGGCCAAGCCUGGGAAUGGUGUAUAUGCUCAGCUCCUCUCCUUCUUGGCCCCAAGAGUGUCCUGAGGGAAAGUUGGAAGCUGCAUAGGUAUAGUCAUGCUCAGUAUUUGUUUUUGUACCCAGAGAUGUGGUCUGUUUCUAACAAGAGCUACCUGAUAAACCCUCUACCUUGUGGACUCUGCAGGCCAGGCCAUAGUACAGACCUCACUUCUGGAGUCCUUCAGUCAGUGAAUUUAGGUUUUUUUUGUGUGUGUGUGCAAGAAUCCAGGUUCCAUGGGGCUUCUUUCUAGUGUCUCUGAACAUGGCAGAAGCAGUCUGCCUGCAGAACUUGGGCUUGGUUGGGGGAGAUAUUGGCAAUAAGCUUUCCAUCAGACCCUGCCCCUUUGCUCCAGGAUACUUCUUCCUUUGGAGAACACACAGCUGGUCUCUCACACUGUCAUAAGUCUCAGAGUAUCCAUUUGAAAUGGGCAGUUCUGUCCACUGCAUUUGACUCUAAACACAGUUCAACAGCCAGACCAAACCUCACAUUCCUAGGGCACAAUCCUGCCAGUCUCAUUCUUGAGCCCAGUCUAUGAGGUGGGCAACACAAUGACUGUGAAGGGAUGUGGCUGCUGUGUCUUGGAGCUAAUUUUUUAUUGUUUUGCAGGGGUGUCUGGUCUCUCACACAGACAUUCCUACAAUGGAAUCUUUUGAAAUGGACUCCCCCUCAGGGCUCUAAUGGACUAUGCAGGGAAUUGCUUGGAACCUUCUUGGUGGAAGUGUAGACAACUUUUCCAAAUGCCUCUGAGCAUGGUACUGUGUUCAGGAAGGAGAAUAUUGCUCACAUGUGUGGAGCUGCAUGUAGUAAAUUUUCUACCAGAUCCUACCC